RNAcentral lists this ribosomal RNA (62 nucleotides) under Diaphananthe ichneumonea. Its description in RNAcentral is "partial 5.8S ribosomal RNA". It matches the Rfam family "5.8S ribosomal RNA", at positions 1 to 57 of the family's 154-position model. Rfam says of the family: 5.8S ribosomal RNA (5.8S rRNA) is a component of the large subunit of the eukaryotic ribosome. It is transcribed by RNA polymerase I as part of the 45S precursor that also contains 18S and 28S rRNA. Functionally, it is thought that 5.8S rRNA may be involved in ribosome translocation. RNAcentral also lists the same sequence under 1 other name. The record is from RNAcentral. Lineage: Eukaryota; Viridiplantae; Streptophyta; Magnoliopsida; Asparagales; Orchidaceae.
GACACGACUCUCGGCAAUGGAUAUCUCGGCUCUCGCAUCGAUGAAGAGCGCAGCGAAAUGCG